GACGAACGCUGGCGGCGCGCUUAACACAUGCAAGUCGAACGGAAAGGCCUGCUUUCCCUUGUGGAUUGCGGGUACUCGAGUGGCGAACGGGUGAGUAACACGUGAGUGAUCUGCCCCCAACUUGGGUAUAAGCCUGGGAAACUGGGUCUAAUUCCCGAUAGGACUGCAGGGUGGUGCCUGUGGUGGAAAACGAUUUUCUAGUGGUUGGGGAUGAGCUCGCGGCCUAUCAGCUUGUUGGUGGGGUAAUGGCCUACCAAGGCGGCGACGGGUAGCCGGCCUGAGAGGGUGGACGGACACAUUGGGAGUGAGAUACGGCCCAGACUCCUACGGGAGGCAGCAGUGGGGAAUAUUGAACAAUGGGCGGAAGCCUGAUGCAGCGACGCAGCGUGGGGGAUGACGGCCUUCGGGUUGUAAACUCCUUUCGACCGCGAGGAAGCCACCUGGUUGGAAGGGUGGUGACGGUAGUGGUAGAAGAAGCACCGGCUAACUACGUG
Molecule: ribosomal RNA, 494 nt
Filed under: uncultured bacterium
Lineage: Bacteria
Description: partial 16S ribosomal RNA
Rfam family: Bacterial small subunit ribosomal RNA
Source: RNAcentral